UACGGAGGAUCCGAGCGUUAUCCGGAUUUAUUGGGUUUAAAGGGUGCGUAGGCGGCCUUUUAAGUCAGCGGUGAAAGUCUGUGGCUCAACCAUAGAAUUGCCGUUGAAACUGUAGUUCUUGAGUGAUGGAGAGGCAGGCGGAAUUCCUAGUGUAGCGGUGAAAUGCGUAGAUAUUAGGAGGAACACCAGUGGCGAAGGCGACUUUCUGGACUGUACCUGACGCUGAGGCGCGAAAGCGUGGGUAGCGAACGGG
This 253-nucleotide ribosomal RNA is filed under the name uncultured bacterium. RNAcentral's name for it is "partial 16S ribosomal RNA". It matches the Rfam family "Bacterial small subunit ribosomal RNA", at positions 524 to 776 of the family's 1533-position model. The record is from RNAcentral.